CAAUAGCGUAUAUUAAAGUUGUUGCAGUUAAAAAGCUCGUAGUUGGAUUUCGGGUGGGACGCAGCGGUCUCGCAUUGCGUUUGUACUGCUGCAGCCCUCCUUCUUGCCGGGGGCGGCCUCUCGGACUUCACUGUCUGGGGGUCAGAAUCGGCGAUGUUACUUUGAGUAAAUUAGAGUGUUCAAAGCAAGCUUACGCUCUGAAUAUAAUAGCAUGGGAUAACACGACAGGACUCUGGCCUAUCGUGUUGGUCUAUAGGACCAGAGUAAUGAUUAAGAGGGACAGUCGGGGGCAUUCGUAUUCCGUUGUCAGAGGUGAAAUUCUUGGAUUUACGGAAGACGAACAUCUGCGAAAGCAUUUGCCAAGGAUGUUUUCAUUAA
RNAcentral lists this ribosomal RNA (378 nucleotides) under uncultured eukaryote. RNAcentral describes it as "partial 18S ribosomal RNA". It matches the Rfam family "Eukaryotic small subunit ribosomal RNA", at positions 592 to 976 of the family's 1831-position model. The record is from RNAcentral.